CUGGCUAGGAGUGAAGAAGGUUCUUUUUUUCUGGAUAUUGCUCCUUGUGGUGUUUCCUGUGAGCCUGCUACACUGUUGUUCAUACCAACAGAAAAUGGAGGAUGAUUCAAUUUGCAGUUUCGUAAGCUGUGCAAUUUGGACAUCUUCAUAAGGAGACAGAUGAGGAGGUCUCAGAGGGUGAUGUUGGACAAUUGCUCAUCUGCCCAGAGGAUUCUCAUGAGUCAACGAAAGGCCCUGGUAAAUACAUAAUAGCGUUGUGAUCUCCUUCUCAACAUCAGAACAGGCCAUUAUCAUACCUUCAGUAUGUUCCCGUUCCAAAAUUUCUAUCCAGCAAACCUGCUUUCCUGUACUCUCAUCAGGAUAGUUUCCUCAUUAAAUUCUUGUACCAACAUUGUAUCUUCACAGAUCUGUUUAUUUCCUUUUUAUUUUAACUGCCAAAUUCUACCUUUUUCAAUUUUUUUUUUCUUUGAAUAUAGUGUUUUGCAGUCUUUUACAUCUUAACUGCUGACCUCAUCCUUAGUUGUAACUAACUCCUCAAAAACUAGAAUAGCUUCCUCUUAUGUCUUAUUCACAAAACUAGAACUAUUCACGCUCUUCAUGAACUUGUCAUGAACUUCAGCAACUUCUUGUGCGUUAGAGUUUCUUCUACUGCCAAGAUCACACGAAUGAAAAAUGAAUAAAAAAUUAUACCCACAACCAAGCUGCACCAUUGAGCAAAUUAUAGAAUUUUGUACAGAUCUUUAAUAACACCUUUUAGCAGUGAAGUCUCUUUUUAAAAAAUAAUAGAGGCUUUUAAAAUAAAAAAUCAAGAUGCAGAAAGCAAAAUGAAAAUAAAGAACAGAGUGCUUCCAGUAAUGAAGACAGUUAUUUCUCAUAGCAUUAUGUGAGAAGGGAGGGAGGGAGUGAGGAAAGGCAAAACUACAGCAUGAACCUAAGACAGGAUUAUUUAUUUAUUUAUUCAUUUAGUGCAGUCUGUCCCUA
Lagopus muta (rock ptarmigan) is the source of this 981-nucleotide long non-coding RNA. RefSeq lists it as uncharacterized. The transcript has 4 exons. The record is from RefSeq and is a predicted model, not a curated record. Lineage: Eukaryota; Metazoa; Chordata; Aves; Galliformes; Phasianidae.